This 342-nucleotide RNase P RNA is filed under the name Rhodoferax koreensis. Its description in RNAcentral is "Rhodoferax koreense Bacterial RNase P class A". It matches the Rfam family "Bacterial RNase P class A". Rfam says of the family: Ribonuclease P (RNase P) is a ubiquitous endoribonuclease, found in archaea, bacteria and eukarya as well as chloroplasts and mitochondria. The record is from Rfam by way of RNAcentral. Lineage: Bacteria; Pseudomonadati; Pseudomonadota; Betaproteobacteria; Burkholderiales; Comamonadaceae.
GAAGCUCGCCAAGACCGCCGCUGGUGCAAUCUGGGAAACCAGGCACUGGAGGAACGUCCGGACUGCACAGGGCAGCGUAGCAGCUAAUGGCUGUCCACCGUGAGGUGAGGAUCAGAGCAACAGAGACGAGUCAGGUCGGGCAAAAGCCCGACUUGGGUGAAACGGGCAAUCUCUACGCGCAGCAAUACCAAGUAGGCCAACGUUGACGGGGCCCCCGGAGUUGGCGGGUAGGUAGCAUCGAGCCGGGUGGGCGACCCCCGGCCCAGAUUAAUGGCGGUCACGUUCCCGGCGCUGCAAGGUGCUGGGAAUGCACAGAAUCCGGCUUAUCGGCGAGCUUCACAC